AGAAUCAACGCUGGCGGCGUGCCUAACACAUGCAAGUCGCACGAGAAAGGGACUUCGGUCCUGAGGUACAGUGGCGCACGGGUGAGUAACACGUGAAUAAUCUACCUCCGAGUGGGGAAUAACUGAGAGAAAUCUUAGCUAAUACCGCAUAACACUUACGAGUCAAAGCAGCAAUGCGCUUGGAGAGGAGUUUCGCGGCAGAUUAGUUAGUUGGCGGGGUAAUGGCCCACAAGACGAUGAUCU
RNAcentral lists this ribosomal RNA (243 nucleotides) under uncultured bacterium. RNAcentral describes it as "partial small subunit ribosomal RNA". It matches the Rfam family "Bacterial small subunit ribosomal RNA", at positions 26 to 282 of the family's 1533-position model. The record is from RNAcentral.